Molecule: ribosomal RNA, 253 nt
Filed under: uncultured bacterium
Lineage: Bacteria
Description: partial 16S ribosomal RNA
Rfam family: Bacterial small subunit ribosomal RNA
Source: RNAcentral
UACGUAGGUGGCAAGCGUUGUCCGGAUUUACUGGGCGUAAAGGGCGUGCAGGCGGUUUCUUAAGUCUGAUGUGAAAGCCCACGGCUCAACCGUGGAGGGUCAUUGGAAACUGGGGAACUUGAGUGCAGGAGAGAAGAGUGGAAUUCCACGUGUAGCGGUGAAAUGCGUAGAGAUGUGGAGGAACACCAGUGGCGAAGGCGGUUCUCUGGGACGGUACUGACGCUGAGACGCGAAAGCGUGGGGAGCGAACAGG